RNAcentral lists this ribosomal RNA (489 nucleotides) under uncultured Neisseria sp. RNAcentral's name for it is "bacterial SSU rRNA". It matches the Rfam family "Bacterial small subunit ribosomal RNA", at positions 30 to 507 of the family's 1533-position model. Lineage: Bacteria; Pseudomonadati; Pseudomonadota; Betaproteobacteria; Neisseriales; Neisseriaceae. The record is from RNAcentral.
UUGAACGCUGGCGGCAUGCUUUACACAUGCAAGUCGGACGGCAGCACAGAGAAGCUUGCUUCUUGGGUGGCGAGUGGCGAACGGGUGAGUAACAUAUCGGAACGUACCGAGUAGUGGGGGAUAACUGAUCGAAAGAUUAGCUAAUACCGCAUACGUCUUGAGAGGGAAAGCAGGGGACCUUCGGGCCUUGCGCUAUUCGAGCGGCCGAUAUCUGAUUAGCUAGUUGGUGGGGUAAAGGCCUACCAAGGCGACGAUCAGUAGCGGGUCUGAGAGGAUGAUCCGCCACACUGGGACUGAGACACGGCCCAGACUCCUACGGGAGGCAGCAGUGGGGAAUUUUGGACAAUGGGCGCAAGCCUGAUCCAGCCAUGCCGCGUGUCUGAAGAAGGCCUUCGGGUUGUAAAGGACUUUUGUCAGGGAAGAAAAGGCUGUUGCUAAUAUCAGCGGCUGAUGACGGUACCUGAAGAAUAAGCACCGGCUAACUACGUG